UGGAUCGAUGAUGAGCACUGGUGGAGUACGAGUCACUUACGAUGAAUACAUGUCUGGAACUCUGAGGUCCGU
Molecule: small nucleolar RNA, 72 nt
Filed under: Callithrix jacchus (white-tufted-ear marmoset)
Lineage: Eukaryota; Metazoa; Chordata; Mammalia; Primates; Cebidae
Description: Small nucleolar RNA SNORD113/SNORD114 family (ENSCJAG00000078138.1)
Rfam family: Small nucleolar RNA SNORD113/SNORD114 family
About the family: The imprinted human domain at 14q32 contains two clusters of tandemly repeated small nucleolar RNAs named 14q(I) and 14q(II) snoRNAs.
Source: Rfam by way of RNAcentral